This is a long non-coding RNA of Salarias fasciatus (jewelled blenny), 2071 nucleotides long. RefSeq lists it as uncharacterized. The transcript has 3 exons. NCBI's taxonomy places the organism in Eukaryota, Metazoa, Chordata, Actinopteri, Blenniiformes, Blenniidae. The record is from RefSeq and is a predicted model, not a curated record.
GGGGGGGGGGGGGGGGGGGACUUGAUGCCUCUUGAAGCCCCUGUUAUUUCUACCACCUGCUGCACAAAUCUGGAGAAACACGCACUGACCAGUAACCAGCGGGGUUACGAGCUGACGGACGAGACAGAGAGGUUUAUCCUGUUUGUUUGGGUUUCGUCCGACAAUCCCCACCCUCCCUCCUCCACUCCUCCUCUCCCACCCCCCACCCCCCUCCACCACCCACCCCCUCCACCACCCCCAACACCUCCCGCGUUUCCCCCGCUGCGGUCCGACGGUGGGGUGGGGUGUGUGCGGGAGAGGGCCGGAGCGAACCGACAGAUGGAACUCCGGCUCGGCGGCUGGCUGUCCCGCUCAGCGGACAGGAUAUAACUUAUCUGGGCUCCCCGGCGUCCGCUCUGUGCUGCACCCGAUUAAACACCCCAUCCCGAGCACAGUAGCCACCGACAGGCCGACGCCGGCCCGAACGCCUCUCGGGCCUGCAGAUUCAGCAUAAAAUCUGUGUGUGUGUGUGUGUGUGUGCGUCUCCCGUGUGCGUGCGCGUGUGUGUUAAGUUGGGGCUCCGUGCCGGGCCGGGAAACUCUCCAGAUAGCUCAGGUAUCAGACACAGUGUGUGAAAUAAUGUGUUCCUCUCCCUUCGCACCUCUGAUGUUUGCCUUACUUACUAUUUUUGAUGGAGGAUUUCCUCGAACCCUGAUUCAGUUCACAAAGCAGUUGUAUUUUGUUAGACUUUUCCUACAAGUGCACAAUGUAUAGACUGAAAUAGAUCACCGUUAUCACUCCAUCGUGUCACCGCCCAUUUCACCCAUCGCCCUCACUGUUUUUCCUCCACCUGGACUGUUAAGUGUGUAUGUGCACAUGUAUGCUUGUUUGUGUGUGUGUGUGUGUGUGUGUGUGUGUGUGUGUGUGUUUCCAGGAAUACUCCCUUCUCCACUGGUCUGAUAUGAGCAUUAGCAUUACUCCGGCAUUUAUGACCCACUUGUGUGUGUAUUCCAGGGCGCGGCCGGGCAUGUCCGGACCAGCUCCGUGUCUGCAGCGACUUAUUGGCUCACGGGUUAGAGCGCUUCGUCACUGUAUCGCCAGCUCGCAACACAGGAAAUUUAUUUGAAAGAAGAAGAAGAAGAGAAAAAUAAUAGAGGCAGACAGACUGAUGCGCCUGCAGACAUACAAACAUGCCCGAGAUCUUACUAAACUCUCUCAGUGCUCCAGUUGGCAGCCGCUGAAGGUUGCACUGUGUCUGAUGAGCUUUCAGGGUGACGGGUUUUAAGACAGCAGGCAGGUUGCUCUGCGUUUGUUCUCGCUCCUGGUGCUACGUGUAAGCAUCAAAAGCUCAGAUUGGUGCCUGCUGCCCGGGCAGGGUGGGCGUAGGUUGGGAGCCUGGCACCGACUGGCUGGCCUACAUAGGUAAGGAUGCCCUAUAUAUAAGUUGGACAGAGAGCCGCGGUUGAACAUUGGGAUACAGUAUCGUCACAUGCCAAUUGGCCGCCAUCUGUAGAUGAGUCAGUGGCGUCGCUAGCGUGUGACUAAUCUAUGUGCCAUCUCCGUGCCCACACUCACCAGCUUGGGGAAAAGAGAGAGAGUGGCAGAUAAAGGAGAGAAUGUUCCUGUGACUUGGCUUUAACCUGAGAGGAAGAGGGAGGGAGGAGGGUGGAGGUAGUUUAGCAUUCUUUUUUUCUUUUUUUUUUUUUUCCCAUCCUCUCUCGCCAGUUGUGCUGUGAAUAAAAAAUGCUGCGCACAAUAUUCUCCGGUGGAGGUGUUUCGAGCCGGUGAGGACGCCGCGGCCCAGGGGCGGCGGCCGCUCCCGCGCGGGGUUUACUGCGGCUGGGGGGUGCGCACGUUGCGUUGCACGCCGACGCUGGCACCUCGGUGAGGGCGGGGAUGGAGGCGUCUGCCGGUGGACACGGCGGCGCUGAGGUGUGCGAGUGCUUAUUUGUGCUUAUAUUUGCAGUUUUUUUUUUUUUCCUUCCUCCGUGAGAUUGUGUGCGCGGGUUCCUGUGGUCGAGCAGCUGAACAGACUUGUUUAGUGUGUGUAUGUGUGUGUGUGUGUGUGUGUGUGUGUGUGUGUGUGUGUGUG